ACGGAAGGCAGCAGUGGGGAAUAUUGGGCAAUGGGCGAAAGCCUGACCCAGCAACGCCGCGUGAAGGAAGAAGGCCUUCGGGUUGUAAACUUCUUUUACCAGGGACGAAGGACGUGACGGUACCUGGAGAAAAAGCAACGGCUAACUACGUGCCAGCAGCCGCGGUAAUACGUAGGUUGCAAGCGUUGUCCGGAUUUACUGGGUGUAAAGGGCGUGUAGGCGGAGCUGCAAGUCAGAUGUGAAAUCCCGGGGCUCAACCCCGGAACUGCAUUUGAAACUGUAGCCCUUGAGUAUCGGAGAGGCAAGCGGAAUUCCUAGUGUAGCGGUGAAAUGCGUAGAUAUUACUCAGAACACCGAUUGCGAAGGCAUCUCACGAAUCCGUCAUUGACGCUGAGGCACGAAAGCGUGGGGAUCAAACAGGAUUAGAUACCCUGGUA
This 437-nucleotide ribosomal RNA is filed under the name uncultured Oscillospiraceae bacterium. RNAcentral describes it as "bacterial SSU rRNA". It matches the Rfam family "Bacterial small subunit ribosomal RNA", at positions 341 to 792 of the family's 1533-position model. The record is from RNAcentral. Lineage: Bacteria; Bacillati; Bacillota; Clostridia; Eubacteriales; Oscillospiraceae.